AAAGACUAAGCCAUGCAUGUCUAAGUAUAAACACCUUUAUACUGCGAAACUGCGAACGGCUCAUUAUAUCAGUUAUAAUCUACUUGAUCGUAUCCUCUUACUUGGAUAACCGUAGUAAUUCUAGAGCUAAUACAUGCAAAAAUUCCCGACUGGUGACGGAAGGGUAGUAUUUAUUAGGUCCAAAAUCAAUGCUGGUCAUUCGGUCAGGAAAAAUUGAUGAUUCAUAAUAACUAAACGAAGCGCAGGGCUCGUCCCGGCGCUGAUGCAAACGAGUUUCUGCCCUAUCAACUUUCGAUGGUAGUAUAGGGGACUACCAUGGUCG
Molecule: ribosomal RNA, 322 nt
Filed under: uncultured fungus
Lineage: Eukaryota; Fungi
Description: bacterial SSU rRNA
Rfam family: Eukaryotic small subunit ribosomal RNA
Source: RNAcentral